This 170-nucleotide ribosomal RNA is filed under the name uncultured bacterium. Its description in RNAcentral is "partial 16S ribosomal RNA". It matches the Rfam family "Bacterial small subunit ribosomal RNA", at positions 338 to 524 of the family's 1533-position model. The record is from RNAcentral.
CCUACGGGAGGCAGCAGUGAGGAAUUUUCGUCAAUGGGCGCAAGCCUGAACGAGCAACGCCGCGUGCAGGAAGAAGGUCUUCGGAUCGUAAACUGCUUUUCUGAGGGACGAGCAAGGACGGUACCUCAGGAAUCAGCCCCGGCUAACUACGUGCCAGCAGCCGCGGUAAU